ACUUAUGGACCUCUUGUUUCAGCCAUCAGUGCUACACCUGAAUUCAAACUUACCGUCAGCAACAAGCUGCCAAGUAGUAAGAAGAAUAGGACUGGGCUUAUUGUGGGAAUUGUUGUUGGUUGUGGAGUUUUAAUUCUGGUGGUGCUGCUUUUAUAUAUUGUUCAAGGAAGAAAGAGGCACAACACUGAUGAUGACUAUGAUGAAGAGCUGUUGGGAAUAGAUCUUGGACCUCUCACUUUCAGUUUUUCUGAACUGAAGGCAGCUACAAAUGACUUUAGUCUAGAUAAUAAGCUUGGAGAGGGAGGAUUUGGGCCCGUCUUCAAAGCCUCAUACUAGCAGUCUCGUGAAUGCCUUCAGAAGGAACUUGAAGGAUGCUGGUUUGAUCAUAUCCCAGAGGUCAUGAGAAAUGAAUGGGCAAGCUGUAAAGCAGGCGUAUGUUAAGAACUCCUUGUUUCCAC
Molecule: long non-coding RNA, 458 nt
Organism: Rosa chinensis
Lineage: Eukaryota; Viridiplantae; Streptophyta; Magnoliopsida; Rosales; Rosaceae
Exons: 5
Source: RefSeq, a predicted model, not a curated record